RNAcentral lists this ribosomal RNA (481 nucleotides) under uncultured bacterium. Its description in RNAcentral is "bacterial SSU rRNA". It matches the Rfam family "Bacterial small subunit ribosomal RNA", at positions 501 to 985 of the family's 1533-position model. The record is from RNAcentral.
CUACGUGCCAGCAGCCGCGGUAAUACGGAAGGUCCGGGCGUUAUCCGGAUUUAUUGGGUUUAAAGGGAGCGUAGGCUGGAGAUUAAGUGUGUUGUGAAAUGUAGACGCUCAACGUCUGACUUGCAGCGCAUACUGGUUUCCUUGAGUACGCACAACGUUGGCGGAAUUCGUCGUGUAGCGGUGAAAUGCUUAGAUAUGACGAAGAACUCCGAUUGCGAAGGCAGCUGACGGGAGCGCAACUGACGCUGAAGCUCGAAGGUGCGGGUAUCGAACAGGAUUAGAUACCCUGGUAGUCCGCACAGUAAACGAUGGAUGCCCGCUGUUGGUACUUGGUAUCAGCGGCUAAGCGAAAGCAUUAAGCAUCCCACCUGGGGAGUACGCCGGCAACGGUGAAACUCAAAGGAAUUGACGGGGGCCCGCACWAGCGGAGGAACAUGUGGUUUAAUUCGAUGAUACGCGAGGAACCUUACCCGGGCUUGAA